RNAcentral lists this transfer RNA (72 nucleotides) under Camelus bactrianus (Bactrian camel). It matches the Rfam family "tRNA". Rfam says of the family: Transfer RNA (tRNA) molecules are approximately 80 nucleotides in length. The record is from Rfam by way of RNAcentral. RNAcentral also lists the same sequence under 2 other names. Lineage: Eukaryota; Metazoa; Chordata; Mammalia; Artiodactyla; Camelidae.
GAGGGGAUAGCUCAGUGGUAGAGCGCAUGCUUUGCAUGCACAAGGUCCUGAGUUCAAUCCCCUGUACCCCCA